AGCCCAUGAUGAGGGAACAACUUUAACAUAUCCUUAAAACACUCCCAUGAUUCAUAAAGUUUUUCACCUUCUUUUUAGGUAAAACUAUUGAUUUGAUUCCUUAUAUU
Small nucleolar RNA from Lathyrus oleraceus (garden pea), 107 nucleotides. The record is from RefSeq and is a predicted model, not a curated record. Lineage: Eukaryota; Viridiplantae; Streptophyta; Magnoliopsida; Fabales; Fabaceae.